Molecule: non-coding RNA, 91 nt
Organism: Haemonchus placei
Lineage: Eukaryota; Metazoa; Nematoda; Chromadorea; Rhabditida; Trichostrongylidae
Source: Rfam
GAGCAAAGAUGAAUGCAUAAUUGCUUUCUGACACCUCUUAUGUUAGCGGUCAUUUCCGGGCUGCAAUGAUUCCAAAAAGUUUCCUGAGCUC